This is a non-coding RNA of Podarcis lilfordi (Lilford's wall lizard), 69 nucleotides long. The record is from the annotation of a GenBank genome assembly. Lineage: Eukaryota; Metazoa; Chordata; Lepidosauria; Squamata; Lacertidae.
GGAUAGCUCAGUUGGUUAGAACGUGGUCUGGUAACUCCAAGGUUGCAGGUUUGAUUCCUGUAUGAAACA